CCUACGGGAGGCAGCAGUGGGGAAUAUUGGACAAUGGGGGGAACCCUGAUCCAGCGACGCCGCGUGAGUGAAGAAGUAUUUCGGAUUGUAAAGUUCUUUUCUAAGGGAAGAAGAAAGUGACGGUACCUUAGGAAUAAGCCUCGGCUAACUACGUGCCAGCAGCCGCGGUAAUACGUAGGAGGCAAGCGUUAUCCGGAAUGACUGGGCGUAAAGGGUGCGUAGGUGGUUUGACAAGUUGGUAGCGUAACUCCGGGGCUCAACCUCGGCACUACUACCAAAACUGUUGGACUUGAGUGCAGGAGGGGCAAAUGGAAUUCCUAGUGUAGCGGUGGAAUGCGUAGAUAUUAGGAGGAACACCAGUGGCGAAGGCGAUUUGCUGGACUGUAACUGACACUGAGGCACGAAAGCGUGGGGAGCAAACAGGAUUAGAUACCCCGGUAGUC
This 443-nucleotide ribosomal RNA is filed under the name uncultured bacterium. RNAcentral's name for it is "partial 16S ribosomal RNA". It matches the Rfam family "Bacterial small subunit ribosomal RNA", at positions 338 to 795 of the family's 1533-position model. The record is from RNAcentral.